Molecule: ribosomal RNA, 472 nt
Filed under: uncultured bacterium
Lineage: Bacteria
Description: partial 16S ribosomal RNA
Rfam family: Bacterial small subunit ribosomal RNA
Source: RNAcentral
AUUGAACGCUGGCGGCAGGCCUAACACGUGCAAGUCGAGCGGGGACUUCGGUCCUAGCGGCGAACGGGUGAGUAAUGCUUGGGAAUCUGCCCAGUAGUGGGGGAUAACGUCCCGAAAGGGACGCUAAUACCGCAUACGUCCUACGGGAGAAAGAGGGGGAUCUUCGGACCUCUCGCUAUUGGAUGAGCCCAAGUCGGAUUAGCUAGUUGGUAGGGUAAUGGCCUACCAAGGCGACGAUCCGUAGCUGGUCUGAGAGGAUGAUCAGCCACACUGGAACUGAGACACGGUCCAGACUCCUACGGGAGGCAGCAGUGGGGAAUAUUGGACAAUGGGCGAAAGCCUGAUCCAGCCAUGCCGCGUGUGUGAAGAAGGCCUUCGGGUUGUAAAGCACUUUAAGCGGGGAGGAAGGUUCGCGGCCUAAUACGUCGCGGAAUUGACGUUACCCGCAGAAUAAGCACCGGCUAACUCUGUG